CUAAAAUGAAUGGACACGAGGAGAGUGGACAACCUUGUCACAUUCCCAACUUUAGUGAAAUUUCUUUGAGUUUCUCUCCAUUUAAUUUGAUGGUGGCUACUGUAACAUUCAUUGAGCUAUCAGGAGUCUAGAGUAUCUGAACCUCUAGAAGGUCAUUGAGCCCUGAGAAGGAGGUCGGAAGAAGAUGUCCCAUUUCAGACUGAAUUGUUCCAGUAUCUCUCGCUCUCUGUCCAACUGUGAGUCUCUGAAUUAGUUCUCACCUAAAGCAGCUCACUUGUGCACUUACAGAGAGAUUCUGAAACAGUCUUGUAGAAGUUCCAGCAAUCAAAAGAAUCAUCUGACCUAACCAAGGAAGGAUAAAGGCAAGAUUUUUUUCUUCAUUUUUAAUUUUAAGCAAGAA
Molecule: long non-coding RNA, 400 nt
Organism: Mus musculus (house mouse)
Lineage: Eukaryota; Metazoa; Chordata; Mammalia; Rodentia; Muridae
Product: predicted gene, 39658
Exons: 3
Source: RefSeq, a predicted model, not a curated record